UACAGAGGGUGCGAGCGUUAAUCGGAAUUACUGGGCGUAAAGCGUGCGCAGGCGGUUUCGUAAGUCGGGUGUGAAAUCCCCGGGCUCAACCUGGGAAUUGCAUUCGAGACUGAAUAGCUAGGGUACGGAAGAGGGAAGCGGAAUUUCAGGUGUAGCGGUGAAAUGCGUAGAUAUCUGAAGGAACACCAGUGGCGAAAGCGGCUUCCUGGUCCAGUACCGACGUUCAGGCACGAAAGCGUGGGGAGCAAACAGG
RNAcentral lists this ribosomal RNA (253 nucleotides) under uncultured prokaryote. Its description in RNAcentral is "partial 16S ribosomal RNA". It matches the Rfam family "Bacterial small subunit ribosomal RNA", at positions 524 to 776 of the family's 1533-position model. The record is from RNAcentral.